UAAUAAGUGUUUCAUGGCACUUUUUAAAUCCAUAUCCACCUUGUGUGCAAUGUCAGUCGAUCUUCUUCAUGGAGAUCGACCAAACAUCAACCUUUAUCUUUUAACUCUUUGUCUGAAAGAUAUUAUGAAUAAACAAUUCAAAAUA
Molecule: unclassified non-coding RNA, 145 nt
Filed under: soil metagenome
Description: partial internal transcribed spacer 1
Source: RNAcentral